Molecule: ribosomal RNA, 780 nt
Filed under: uncultured bacterium
Lineage: Bacteria
Description: bacterial SSU rRNA
Rfam family: Bacterial small subunit ribosomal RNA
Source: RNAcentral
AGAGUUUGAUCCUGGCUCAGAUUGAACGCUGGCGGUAUGCCUAACACAUGCAAGUCGAACGAGGUAGCAAUACCUAGUGGCGGACGGGUGAGGAAUACGUAGGGAUCUGCCCUUAAGUGGGGGAUAACCCGGGGAAACCCGGAUUAAUACCGCAUGAUCUCGCAAGAGCAAAGAGGGGGACCGCAAGGCCUCUCGCUUUUGGAGGAACCUACGUCGGAUUAGCUAGUUGGUGAGGUAAUGGCUCACCAAGGCGACGAUCCGUAACUGGUCUGAGAGGAUGAUCAGUCACACCGGAACUGAGACACGGUCCGGACUCCUACGGGAGGCAGCAGUGGGGAAUAUUGGACAAUGGGCGAAAGCCUGAUCCAGCAAUACCGCGUGUGUGAAGAAGGCCUUCGGGUUGUAAAGCACUUUAAGUUGGGAAGAAAAAGCUUCACCUAAUACGUGAAGCCUUGACGGUACCGACAGAAUAAGCACCGGCUAACUCUGUGCCAGCAGCCGCGGUAAUACAGAGGGUGCUAGCGUUAAUCGGAUUUACUGGGCGUAAAGCGUGCGUAGGUGGUUUGAUAAGUCGAUUGUGAAAGCCCCGGGCUUAACCUGGGAAUUGCGGUCGAUACUGUCAGACUCGAAAACGGUAGAGGGAGGUGGAACUCCAGGUGUAGCGGUGAAAUGCGUAGAUAUCUGGAAGAACACCGAUGGCGAAGGCAGCCUCCUGGGCCUGUUUUGACACUGAGGCACGAAAGCGUGGGUAGCAAACAGGAUUAGAUACCCUGGUAGUCC